RNAcentral lists this transfer RNA (70 nucleotides) under Tarentola mauritanica (Moorish gecko). RNAcentral's name for it is "tRNA-Tyr". It matches the Rfam family "tRNA". Rfam says of the family: Transfer RNA (tRNA) molecules are approximately 80 nucleotides in length. Their secondary structure includes four short double-helical elements and three loops (D, anti-codon, and T loops). Further hydrogen bonds mediate the characteristic L-shaped molecular structure. tRNAs have two regions of fundamental functional importance: the anti-codon, which is responsible for specific mRNA codon recognition, and the 3' end, to which the tRNAs corresponding amino acid is attached (by aminoacyl-tRNA synthetases). tRNAs cope with the degeneracy of the genetic code in two manners: having more than one tRNA (with a specific anti-codon) for a particular amino acid; and 'wobble' base-pairing, i.e. permitting non-standard base-pairing at the 3rd anti-codon position. The record is from RNAcentral. Lineage: Eukaryota; Metazoa; Chordata; Lepidosauria; Squamata; Phyllodactylidae.
GGUAGGGUGGCCGAAGGGAAGGCCAUGAGUUGUAACCUCAUUUACGCAGGUUUGAGUCCUGUCACUACCA